AGAGUUUGAUCCUGGCUCAGGACGAACGCUGGCGGCGUGCCUAAUACAUGCAAGUCGAGCGAACAGAGAAGGAGCUUGCUCCUUUGACGUUAGCGGCGGACGGGUGAGUAACACGUGGGCAACCUACCCUAUAGUUUGGGAUAACUCCGGGAAACCGGGGCUAAUACCGAAUAAUCUGUUGUCCCUCAUGGGACAAUACUGAAAGACGGUUUCGGCUGUCGCUAUAGGAUGGGCCCGCGGCGCAUUAGCUAGUUGGUGAGGUAACGGCUCACCAAGGCGACGAUGCGUAGCCGACCUGAGAGGGUGAUCGGCCACACUGGGACUGAGACACGGCCCAGACUCCUACGGGAGGCAGCAGUAGGGAACCUUCCACAAUGGGCGAAAGCCUGAUGGAGCAACGCCGCGUGAGUGAAGAAGGAUUUCGGUUCGUAAAACUCUGUUGUAAGGGAAGAACAAGUACAGUAGUAACUGGCUGUACCUUGACGGUACCUUAUUAGAAAGCCACGGCUAACUACGUGCCAGCAGCCGCGGUAAUACGUAGGUGGCAAGCGUUGUCCGGAAUUAUUGGGCGUAAAGCGCGCGCAGGUGGUUUCUUAAGUCUGAUGUGAAAGCCCACGGCUCAACCGUGGAGGGUCAUUGGAAACUGGGAGACUUGAGUGCAGAAGAGGAUAGUGGAAUUCCAAGCGUAGCGGUGAAAUGCGCAGAGAUUUGGAUACCCUGGUAGUCCACGCCGUAAACGAUGAGUGCUAAGUGUUAGGGGGUUUCCGCCCCUUAGUGCUGCAGCUAACGCAUUAAGCACUCCGCCUGGGAGUACGGUCGCAAGACUGAAACUCAAAGGAAUUGACGGGGGCCCGCACAAGCGGUGGAGCAUGUGGUUUAAUUCGAAGCGACGCGAAGAACCUUACCAGGUCUUGACAUCCCGUUGACCACUGUAGAGAUAUAGUUUCCCCUUCGGGGGCAACGGUGACAGGUGGUGCAUGGUUGUCGUCAGCUCGUGUCGUGAGAUGUUGGGUUAAGCCCCGCAACGAGCGCAACCCUUGAUCUUAGUUGCCAUCAUUUAGUUGGGCACUCUAAGGUGACUGCCGGUGACAAACCGGAGGAAGGUGGGGAUGGCGUCAAAUCAUCAUGCCCCUUAUGACCUGGGCUACACACGUGCUACAAUGGACGAUACAAACGGUUGCCAACUCGCGAGAGGGAGCUAAUCCGAUAAAGUCGUUCUCAGUUCGGAUUGUAGGCUGCAACUCGCCUACAUGAAGCCGGAAUCGCUAGUAAUCGCGGAUCAGCAUGCCGCGGUGAAUACGUUCCCGGGCCUUGUACACACCGCCCGUCACACCACGAGAGUUUGUAACACCCGAAGUCGGUGAGGUAACCUUUUGGAGCCAGCCGCCGAAGGUGGGAUAGAUGAUUGGGGUGAAGUCGUAACAAGGUAACC
Molecule: ribosomal RNA, 1432 nt
Filed under: uncultured Bacillus sp.
Lineage: Bacteria; Bacillati; Bacillota; Bacilli; Caryophanales; Bacillaceae
Description: bacterial SSU rRNA
Rfam family: Bacterial small subunit ribosomal RNA
Source: RNAcentral